This 258-nucleotide ribosomal RNA is filed under the name uncultured bacterium. RNAcentral describes it as "partial 16S ribosomal RNA". It matches the Rfam family "Bacterial small subunit ribosomal RNA", at positions 277 to 523 of the family's 1533-position model. The record is from RNAcentral.
CGAUCCCUAGCUGGUUUGAGGAGGAUGAUCAGCCACACUGGGACUGAGACACGGCCCAGACUCCUACGGGAGGCAGCAGUGGGGAAUAUUGCACAAUGGGCGCAAGCCUGAUGGCAGCCAUGCCGGCGUGUGUGAAGAAGGCCUUCGGGUUGUAAAGCACUUUCAGUCAGGAGGAAAGCGUGGUGGUUAAUACCCAUCAUGUGUGACGUUACUGACAGAAGAAGCACCCGGCUAACUCCGUGCCAGCAGCCGCGGUAA